ACGGAUAACAUACCGAAAGGUAUGCUAAUACGGGAUAAUAUAUUUGAGAGGCAUCUCUUGAAUAUCAAAGGUGAGCCAGUACAGGAUGGACCCGCGUCUGAUUAGCUAGUUGGUAAGGUAAAGGCUUACCAAGGCGACGAUCAGUAGCCGACCUGAGAGGGUGAUCGGCCACAUUGGAACUGAGACACGGUCCAAACUCCUACGGGAGGCAGCAGUGGGGAAUAUUGCACAAUGGGCGAAAGCCUGAUGCAGCAACGCCGCGUGAGUGAUGAAGGCCUUCGGGUCGUAAAACUCUGUCCUCAAGGAAGAUAAUGACGGUACUUGAGGAGGAAGCCCCGGCUAACUACGUGCCAGCAGCCGCGGUAAUACGUAGGGGGCUAGCGUUAUCCGGAUUUACUGGGCGUAAAGGGUGCGUAGGCGGUCUUUCAAGUCAGGAGUGAAAGGCUACGGCUCAACCGUAGUAAGCUCUUGAAACUGGGAGACUUGAGUGCAGGAGAGGAGAGUGGAAUUCCUAGUGUAGCGGUGAAAUGCGUAGAUAUUAGGAGGAACACCAGUUGCGAAGGCGGCUCUCUGGACUGUAACUGACGCUGAGGCACGAAAGCGUGGGGAGCAAACAGGAUUAGAUACCCUGGUAGUCCACGCUGUAAACGAUGAGUACUAGGUGUCGGGGGUUACCCCCUUCGGUGCCGCAG
This 692-nucleotide ribosomal RNA is filed under the name uncultured bacterium. RNAcentral describes it as "bacterial SSU rRNA". It matches the Rfam family "Bacterial small subunit ribosomal RNA", at positions 139 to 851 of the family's 1533-position model. The record is from RNAcentral.